This 498-nucleotide ribosomal RNA is filed under the name uncultured bacterium. RNAcentral's name for it is "partial 16S ribosomal RNA". It matches the Rfam family "Bacterial small subunit ribosomal RNA", at positions 27 to 507 of the family's 1533-position model. The record is from RNAcentral.
GGAUGAACGCUGGCGGCGUGCCUAAUACAUGCAAGUCGAGCGAACAGACGAGGAGCUUGCUCCUCUGACGUUAGCGGCGGACGGGUGAGUAACACGUGGAUAACCUACCUAUAAGACUGGGAUAACUUCGGGAAACCGGAGCUAAUACCGGAUAAUAUAUUGAACCGCAUGGUUCAAUAGUGAAAGACGGUUUUGCUGUCACUUAUAGAUGGAUCCGCGCCGCAUUAGCUAGUUGGUAAGGUAACGGCUUACCAAGGCAACGAUGCGUAGCCGACCUGAGAGGGGGAUCGGCCACACUGGAACUGAGACACGGUCCAGACUCCUACGGGAGGCAGCAGUAGGGAAUCUUCCGCAAUGGGCGAAAGCCUGACGGAGCAACGCCGCGUGAGUGAUGAAGGUCUUCGGAUCGUAAAACUCUGUUAUUAGGGAAGAACAAAUGUGUAAGUAACUAUGCACGUCUUGACGGUACCUAAUCAGAAAGCCACGGCUAACUACGUG